GAUGUUUUAGCAAGUGGCGUGUCUUCACUCAAUAAACUGAAGAGAAGGGGAGAGUGUGCGCGUUUGAGAGAGAGUGACGCCUCCACAGCAACGGCCAAACAGGAUGUGUUUCUUCGAGACGGGUAAAAAAAAAACCCUGCAGGCGCCGAGGACGAGAGUCUACGAGACAUUACAGAAGUAAUAACAAUAGACAAAAAAUAGAAACACGGAGUUACUGAAAAGCAAGAUUCUCUCGCUAUCGCCACGGAAGCAGAGCUCUCGUGCUGUUCCUCUCGGUUCGAGAUGUGCAACAGCGCAAUCCCUUUCAGCCGACUGGAAGACUUAACCAAUUCAAGAGAGUAAUUCUUUAAAGGUAAAUAUUUUUGCAGGAACCCACACAGCUACAUUUCAACAAUUCUAACGUUGUUUGCCUGUAAGAUUCGCCCAAGCUAAACCAAGGCAUUGCCUCCAUACGUACAUUCCAUGUAGUCAGUGUUCAUUAAUCUCCCCUGAACACAGCAUUAUGUGGAAAAACAAGCUUUUCCACACUGAUGUCAUGCUAAUUAAUGCCAGUGGCCGGUGGCUGCAUGAGCUGAGCUGAGCUGAGCUCAACCACACUGCCGUGCCAAGCAUGCCGACGCAGUCAGCCAAUCAGAGAGGAGAAAAACGCUUUCUCCAGCCAACCAGUCAGAGUCGGGGAAGCGGUAAGCGAAGCCAGGAUGCUUUGCAGACUUUCCUCUCAGAAAGUGUGUCUCCAUCCAGAUGUUCUGCAAAAUUUUAAGCUAAUUGUGCAUUUUGUUCAUAGACGUGAUCGACAACUUCUAUCACAUCAGAAUACUCAAAAGAUGAUUGAAAAAGCACAGUGUAAUAAAAAGUUGUUGCUCUUUUAUUAGAUCUUUUUUUUUUCUUGUUUGCUUCUAGCACAUUUUCUUGCAUUUAUCUACCAGAUUUGUAAUAAAUAUGUUAUUUCUAUCCAGGCCAUACAUUGCUCAAGCUCAAAAUUCACAUUUAACUGAACUGGCAUUUCAAGUCAUUUAGAAAAUCUAAUUUGAAGCUACACACGUCUGUACUGGAGGUACUGGAACCUGCUUUAUAUUUUUCCUCUGGCUUUCCGAAAACUCAAUUCAGCUCCAUUUUUAUGAAUCUUAAUUUGCCAGGAAAGAAACCAGGACAUGACUAAAAAUCCACAUAAAUUAGCAAUAAUUAAAUUACUAUGUUCCUGUCUGGUCUCUAGGUCUAAAUAUUAAAGUAAUUGUGAAUUUUAUUACUCUUAUUUGUUUAACUCUUGUUUUCUUAGGUAAAAAUUGCAAUGAAUACAAACGGUGGGUACUGAUGACUUGUUCAACUGACACAAAAAGUGUAAUUAGAUUUUAAUCAUGGGCAUUACAUCGCUUGUAGGGUGGGUAAAAAGGGGCCAAGCACCAAGUGUCAGUGUUGUUUCUCUACUGUGUAGCUCUUAGAAAUGAGUAACGUGAAAUCACAUAUUGUGAAGCACGUUUGAAAAACAUGAAUGAAUCUGUGCAAAAUCUAAAGAAAACAAACAAUAAAAUGAGGGAAUUUUUUUUUUUUGGUUAUUGUACACCUGUACAGUUACAUUUUGUGAAAAAAAAAAAGAAAGAAAUCCAAACAGAACUGAAUGGAAAAAAAAGUUUAUU
Long non-coding RNA from Hemibagrus wyckioides, 1634 nucleotides. RefSeq lists it as uncharacterized. The record is from RefSeq and is a predicted model, not a curated record. Lineage: Eukaryota; Metazoa; Chordata; Actinopteri; Siluriformes; Bagridae. The transcript is spliced from 3 exons.